CCUACGGGUGGCUGCAGUGGGGAAUAUUGGACAAUGGGCGAAAGCCUGAUCCAGCCAUGCCGCGUGUGUGAAGAAGGCCUUCGGGUUGUAAAGCACUUUCAGUGGGGAAGAAAGCCUUGGGGCUAAUACCCUCGAGGAAGGACAUCACCCACAGAAGAAGCACCGGCUAACUCCGUGCCAGCAGCCGCGGUAAUACGGAGGGUGCGAGCGUUAAUCGGAAUUACUGGGCGUAAAGCGCGCGUAGGCGGUUUGAUAAGCCGGUUGUGAAAGCCCCGGGCUCAACCUGGGAACGGCAUCCGGAACUGUCAGGCUAGAGUGCAGGAGAGGAAGGUAGAAUUCCCGGUGUAGCGGUGAAAUGCGUAGAGAUCGGGAGGAAUACCAGUGGCGAAGGCGGCCUUCUGGACUGACACUGACGCUGAGGUGCGAAAGCGUGGGUAGCAAACAGGAUUAGAUACCCCGGUAGUC
This 465-nucleotide ribosomal RNA is filed under the name Vreelandella stevensii. RNAcentral describes it as "partial 16S ribosomal RNA". It matches the Rfam family "Bacterial small subunit ribosomal RNA", at positions 338 to 795 of the family's 1533-position model. The record is from RNAcentral. Lineage: Bacteria; Pseudomonadati; Pseudomonadota; Gammaproteobacteria; Oceanospirillales; Halomonadaceae.